RNAcentral lists this ribosomal RNA (464 nucleotides) under uncultured bacterium. RNAcentral describes it as "bacterial SSU rRNA". It matches the Rfam family "Bacterial small subunit ribosomal RNA", at positions 29 to 532 of the family's 1533-position model. The record is from RNAcentral.
AACGAACGCUGGCGGCAGGCUUAACACAUGCAAGUCGAACGCUCGUAGCAAUACGGGAGUGGCGGACGGGUGAGUAACGCGUGGGAACGUGCCCUGAGGUACGGAAUAACUGCGGGAAACUGCAGCUAAUACCGUAUGAGCCCCGUGAGGGGGAAAGAUUUAUCGCCUUAGGAGCGGCCCGCGUCGGAUUAGCUAGUUGGUGGGGUAACGGCUUACCAAGGCUUCGAUCCGUAGCUGGUCUGAGAGGACGAUCAGCCACACUGGGACUGAGACACGGCCCAGACUCCUACGGGAGGCAGCAGUGGGGAAUCUUGCGCAAUGGGGGCAACCCUGACGCAGCCAUGCCGCGUGAAUGAUGAAGGCCUUAGGGUUGUAAAGUUCUUUUGCCCGUGACGAUGAUGACGGUAACGGGAGAAUAAGCUCCGGCUAACUUCGUGCCAGCAGCCGCGGUAAGCUGUAGUCGU